GAUGAAGAACGCAGCGAAAUGCGAUAAGUAAUGUGAAUUGCAGAAUCCAGUGAAUCAUCGAAUCUUUGAACGCACAUUGCGCCCGCCAGCAUUCUGGCGGGCAUGCCUGUUCGAGCGUCAUUUCAACUCUCGACCUCCCUUUGGGGAAGUCGGCGUUGGGGACCGGCAGCACACCGCCGGCCCUGAAAUGGAGUGGCGGCCCGUCCGCGGCGACCUCUGCGUAGUAAACCAACUCGCACCGGAACCCCGACGUGGCCACGCCGUAAAACACCCAACUUCUGAACGUUGACCUCGAAUCAGGUAGGACUACCCGCUGAACUUAAGCAUAUCAAUAAGCGGAGGA
Molecule: unclassified non-coding RNA, 343 nt
Filed under: soil metagenome
Description: partial contains 5.8S ribosomal RNA, internal transcribed spacer 2, and large subunit ribosomal RNA
Rfam family: 5.8S ribosomal RNA (bases 1-120)
Source: RNAcentral